This 484-nucleotide ribosomal RNA is filed under the name uncultured bacterium. RNAcentral describes it as "partial 16S ribosomal RNA". It matches the Rfam family "Bacterial small subunit ribosomal RNA", at positions 30 to 507 of the family's 1533-position model. The record is from RNAcentral.
AUUGAACGCUGGCGGCAGGCCUAACACAUGCAAGUCGAGCGGAUGAAGGGAGCUUGCUCCUGGAUUCAGCGGCGGACGGGUGAGUAAUGCCUAGGAAUCUGCCUGGUAGUGGGGGAUAACGUCCGGAAACGGGCGCUAAUACCGCAUACGUCCUGAGGGAGAAAGUGGGUGAUCUUCGGACCUCACGCUAUCAGAUGAGCCUAGGUCGGAUUAGCUAGCUGGUGGGGUAAAGGCCUACCAAGGCGACGAUCCGUAACUGGUCUGAGAGGAUGAUCAGUCACACUGGAACUUGGACACGGACCUGGCUCCUACGGGAGGCCGCAGUCGGGUAUGUGAGACAAUGGGCGAAAGCAUGAUCCAGCCAGGCGGCGUGUGUGAAGAAAGUCUUCGGAUUGUAAAGCACUUUAAGGUGGGAGAAAGGGCAGUAAGUUAAUACCUUGCUGUUUUGACGUUACCAACAGAAUAAGCACCGGCUAACUUCGUG